Non-coding RNA from Stachybotrys chartarum IBT 40288, 73 nucleotides. The record is from Rfam. NCBI's taxonomy places the organism in Eukaryota, Fungi, Ascomycota, Sordariomycetes, Hypocreales, Stachybotryaceae.
ACUUAUGUAGCUUAACGGGUAGAGCGAAACAUUAAAGCUGUUUAAGGUAUAGGUUCAAAUCUUAUCAUAAGUU